UACGUAGGUGGCAAGCGUUAUCCGGAUUUACUGGGCGUAAAGAGCUCAUAGGUGGUUUGUCACGUCGUCUGUGAAAUUCCGGGGCUUAACCUCGGGCGUGCAGGCGAUACGGGCAAUACUUGAGUGCUGUAGGGGAGACUGGAAUUCCUGGUGUAGCGGUGAAAUGCGCAGAUAUCAGGAGGAACACCAAUGGCGAAGGCAGGUCUCUGGGCAGUUACUGACGCUGAGAAGCGAAAGCAUGGGGAGGCGAACAGGAUUA
RNAcentral lists this ribosomal RNA (259 nucleotides) under uncultured prokaryote. Its description in RNAcentral is "partial 16S ribosomal RNA". It matches the Rfam family "Bacterial small subunit ribosomal RNA", at positions 524 to 780 of the family's 1533-position model. The record is from RNAcentral.